This 3316-nucleotide long non-coding RNA is filed under the name Helianthus annuus (common sunflower). The record is from RNAcentral. Lineage: Eukaryota; Viridiplantae; Streptophyta; Magnoliopsida; Asterales; Asteraceae.
CCCCUUGUGGCGGUGUUACCGGCGUUUUCCAACGCUAUAUGGGGGCAUAGCACCCCACUACAUUUGAUCUCAGAACACACAGAACAAUCUUUUCUCCAUCUCUCUCUUUCUUCUCUCUAUAACAACCGGUCACCACCAUCAUUUCGGCCACCACUUCCAGCCACCGGCAACCUAUCUAAACCCACCUCACUAUCUGAAAACACACCUGUAGCACAAAAUAAUUUAGCCUGAACCCUUGCCAUUGUCAGAUUUCAGCCUGAGCUAUAGCCAUCGCCGCUAAAUACCGGGUCGCCGCCAUCCUUCUGGUCGUCGAAUAAGGCUAAAAUACCGUGUCGCCGCCAUCCUUCUAGCCGUCGAACUAGGGUGGUGGUCGUUGCAGAGGCGCCGGUGGUUUCCCCUUAACCCUUUGACCUUCCUUGAUGCGGUAUUAGGGUUGCGUUUCAGGCGGCAAGGGUUUGUUGGAAAUUAUGAUGGUUGCUUUUUUAGUUUUAUAAAGAAGAUCCAAACAUUGGGCCAUUAUUUAUCUCAGAUUCAUUAUAUCACAAUUUGAUUGGGUAAAUACCCAUUUAUUAUUAUAUAUAUACAAUUUGCGUCGGCCUUAACUACAGUUCCGGUUUCUCGGUAUAUCUAACAUGCAUCUGCCGGUUUACGCCACGUCCCUCACAUCGGUUACCUGCAAAACCCUAGCCUUGGUCGACACCAUCUAUAGCCCUUAUCAAACUCUACGGCGACGGAAUCGUCCUCAAUAGAAGAUCCAAUCAAAUAGAAUAACGCCAGGAAGAACCCGCUGGAACAGGGGCAUAAGCCAUAGACGGUCACCGAAACAGGGUGACCGGCUGUAGGCUUUGGCCGGAUCCCCUUCCGUUCACGCUUUCUCUCUCUAUCGCUUAGAUUCUCUUUCUUUCCUCUUCUCCCUUUGGCCGAUUCUCUUGUGUGUUUUUUUGAUUUUUUUUAGGUUUAACCGAAGGAGACACUGAGGUUAUAGACGUCAGCAACUAAGGUGUUCCAACAGAAUUCCGGUGAAUAAGAUCUGUCGUGCGUGUCCCGUUUUUGUGUACAUCGACAAACACCGAGGUACCGCUACGGUUUUGACCCACUGGUGUUCGACGGAAUGCUUUUAUACGAUUCUUUGGUUUUAAAGUUUCGACGGUUAGAUAUUAGUAGAUUUUAUUCAUUGCAACAUUUGCUGAGUAUGUACCUUCAUUCAUAGCUGUUAAAGUCGGAGGGCGCUCUUAAGGCGCAAAAAGUGCACACCAUAUACAAAAAAAGCGCAGCCUCUUUCUGCUAUAAUACUUCCAGAUAUUUGUUGGUUAGAACUGGUGAACACUCAUUGUUCAUUACAAUAAUGUGACAAGUCUUGCACAAACUUCACCAUGACACAACAAAGUAAGGUGUAGACCAUAUAUAGGUUCUAUAGUCAAAGCCAUAAGGCGCACAUUUGGUGCGCAAGCGAGGCGAUGGCGCCUUAGGUAGACCUAAGGUGACAACCUUGCUCUAUGUGAAACAAAAGCUCAGGAUCAGAAGAUUGCUUCAGUCAUUAAUCAGUACACCAUGAACCGCUUUGCAAAUACUAAUACAUUUCGCGCCAAAAGACAUCUUGGGAAAAAUAUUCUUUCCACGCGAGUUUUACAGAUGAGAGAGAGUAAAUAAGGGAGGGCCGGUGCCGGUGUAUCUGAGGCGGCUCCGCGUCGGCAACACAAUCGUUCAUUUCUAUAAAAGAAGUUCAACUGAAAGUUUAUGUCAUGAUUUGAAUCGUCACUUUGGCAUAUUUUUAGAGAAGGGAGAGAGCCACAGGGAAAGAGGGAGAGAGAGAGAACGGGAAAGAGGGAGAGAGAGAGAGAGGCAAUGGAGAAGGUGAGACCAGGCACGGCCUCCGGCCGGCCACCUUAAACCGGCGAUAACGAUGACAGUGAUUGUGUCGCUUGGUCGGAGAACGAAGAUGGGAACGGUAGUUUAAAACCCUAGGCAACGAGGGGGUUCUGGUGAUGAGAUCGCAGGUCUAUUCUUCAUACGAUUAGGUCAUAUGGUUCAGACGACUGCAGCGAGCGGCGGCUAGGAUUUUGCCCUAUUUUAGCUGUUCAUGCUUGCCUUGCUCCUGUCGUGACGGACUGACGACAAAGUAUUCUGAGCGACCUUUCAAGUUCAUUUUAAAUAAUCAGGUUUUGGUUGACAUUGUGAAAUUGGUACAAAAAGAGGGAUGGAAGGUAGUAAUGGAGGUUAGAAGGAGUUUUUGAGUGUUUAUGAUAAGAAAUUUGGGAAAAAUUUUAGUAAUGCUGAUGAUUUGAAGGUGGUUGAAAAGCAUGAGAGUGUAUAUCAACAACAAACGGAUUAAAUGUCUCCUGAACAGGUUUGUUUUGAACAUGAGAGAGAGAGAGAGAGAGAGACAAUGGAGUAGGGGAAACCAGGCACGGCCUCCGGCAGGCCACCUUAAACCGACAACAACGACGACAGUGAUGGUGUCACUUGGUCAGUGAACGAAGAUGGGAACGGUGGUCGUACUCGGUUCGACUUCUCCGGCGGCCAUACCCGGUUCGUCUCCUCAGGUUGUCAGUUCAUUAUCUCCUACGAGAGUUCACUGCAGAACAAUGGGGUUUUGGCCUACUUCUAUCUAUGGUAAAUUAAGGUUAUGAAUGGUUCAUGACAUGGUGUUUGUCUACAAUUAGAAUGUCAGUUAUGGUACAUUGUUUCCGUGAUGAUGUAAUAAAGCAGCUUGUGCGAGAGUUGAAGUAUCUCGAUGAAACCCUACCACUAAGAAUUAAAGUAUGGGUAAACAAUGAUGAUUUUCCAACUAUAUAUCCUCCCUUUUCUGCCGAUGAUGGCCAGCCCAGCUGGUCGGAGGUGUGAGGGUUUUACCCACAGGUCACGGGUUCGAUCCUGGCCAGUGGUGGUUUCCCGCAUGGGGUCCCGGUUCGAUCGGAAGGCGCUUGCGGGCGGGCCGGUUCGAAUGCGGGUGGGUGAGUCGCUGCGAUUUAUGGGACGCGGGGCUGACCAGCUGAUCUAAACCUUUCAAAAAAAAAAAAUAUAUCCUCCCUUUUCUGAUUGUUGAAAAAGAGCCUAUUUUAAAAGGCUGCAAUUGAUUCAUCUCAUCUUAUGAAAUAAAGAGUGGACAUGGGAAAUUGGCAAGGCAAAUGACAUUUCUAAUGGCAUUUUUUGAUUAUACAGGAGGAAACUGUAUAAAGGUAUAAUCUUGAGUUCGUUCUUAUUUGCAUAGUAUGUGAUCGUUAUUUUAGGUUUUGUGAAAUUUAUGGUCAGAUGUGAUACAGUUUGAGUAGAUUGUGUGAUUUUGCACAAAAUGUAAUGAAAGAGGAUUCACUAA